This 223-nucleotide long non-coding RNA is filed under the name Populus trichocarpa (black cottonwood). Its description in RNAcentral is "long non-coding RNA (PTRI_LNC000882)". The record is from RNAcentral. Lineage: Eukaryota; Viridiplantae; Streptophyta; Magnoliopsida; Malpighiales; Salicaceae.
AAACAGGUAGUGGUAAUUAGUCAUUAUCAGCAAGUAACCCUGCAUCGGUAUCAAGCCGGUGGCACGCUUCACGAUUACGCACAUGAUUGCAUGCAUCUCUUUGGUUAGGGCAAGGGUUGUGUCUAAUAUAUUAGCAGACACUAAUGUUCACUCUCUCAUUCUCGAAGUAGGUUAUAUCCUAGCCUCAGUUCUUCUAGCGGUCAGAAGUGGUGUCGUUCUCUCG